Long non-coding RNA from Mus musculus (house mouse), 755 nucleotides. RefSeq annotates it as predicted gene, 53749. Lineage: Eukaryota; Metazoa; Chordata; Mammalia; Rodentia; Muridae. The transcript has 2 exons. The record is from RefSeq and is a predicted model, not a curated record.
CAAUCUGAUCCAGCUGUGUGUUGAGAGCCAAUCUUGAAGUGACACAUCAACAGCAAGUCACAAACAGAACCCUCGAUGUUCAAGUCCAGUCUACAGUGGUAAAGAGGGUCGGGGUGGGGCCCUCUCAAAUGGACCCUUAUUUCUCUGUUUACAGGAAGUGUUGAGAAGAGGAAGGAGCCAUUGCUAAUUAAAGUGUCUUCCUUGGGAACCAUGAGGAGAAAGAAGAAAAAGCUAAAAACAAGAUCCAAGGGAGAAAAAGGCAUCAAGACAGAAAAGGCCCACAAGGGGACAGGGGGCAGGGGAGAAGCAACAGGCUGCAGUUGGAAUGGGCCCCCAGCAGGCACAGAGACGGGUCUUGGACAGUUUGUCACCGAGGACUCCACAUGAUGGCUGCUUCGAGGCUUCCGUCCUAAGCCUUCUUCUCUCCCGCAAGCAGCUCCUCACCCCUUAAAUGUUUGGCGAUUGCAACUCUCCAUUGUCUGAAGGUUUCUUCUAAGCUCCAGAUCUCAAGGGCACAGUAUAUGGCAUGCAGAAGAUGUACAUACAGAACUGAUCUGAAUGGAUGUCCCACAGGGCAUCACACAAAGUUCAUCCCUCCCUGCGUCCAUCUUGGUCGGUGCCCAGAACAUCCUCCUUGGGUUACUCCAGCAGGCAUCUGCCAGGAUAAUCCAUCUAUGCAUACUGAUCCUGCCUGUCCCUUGCGUGAAUUCCUUUGUUACAAUUCCAUCAUCAUAAGAAUAAAGCCCUUGCUUAGC